AUUCAUCUGAAGAGUUCAAAAAAGGACGAAACGCGCGUUCUGAAU
This 45-nucleotide non-coding RNA is filed under the name Schistosoma haematobium. Lineage: Eukaryota; Metazoa; Platyhelminthes; Trematoda; Strigeidida; Schistosomatidae. The record is from RNAcentral.